GGGAGCCUUGUUGUGUCAAACGCC
Molecule: non-coding RNA, 24 nt
Filed under: Arabidopsis thaliana (thale cress)
Lineage: Eukaryota; Viridiplantae; Streptophyta; Magnoliopsida; Brassicales; Brassicaceae
Source: RNAcentral